RNAcentral lists this transfer RNA (70 nucleotides) under Anolis allisoni. RNAcentral describes it as "tRNA-Trp". It matches the Rfam family "tRNA". From Rfam's summary of the family: Transfer RNA (tRNA) molecules are approximately 80 nucleotides in length. Their secondary structure includes four short double-helical elements and three loops (D, anti-codon, and T loops). The record is from RNAcentral. Lineage: Eukaryota; Metazoa; Chordata; Lepidosauria; Squamata; Anolidae.
AAAAACUUAGGAUUAACCAAACCAAGAGCCUUCAAAGCUCAAAACAGGAGUGAAAACCCCCUAGUUUUUG